Molecule: ribosomal RNA, 1419 nt
Filed under: bacterium 28S321
Lineage: Bacteria
Description: bacterial SSU rRNA
Rfam family: Bacterial small subunit ribosomal RNA
Source: RNAcentral
GAUUGGCUUACCUGCAAGUCGAGCGGAGAUGAGGUGCUUGCACCUUAUCUUAGCGGCGGACGGGUGAGUAAUGCUUAGGAAUCUGCCAUUUAGUGGGGGACAACAUUCCGAAAGGAAUGCUAAUACCGCAUACGUCCUACGGGAGAAAGCAGGGGAUCUUCGGACCUUGCGCUAAAUGAUGAGCCUAAGUCGGAUUAGCUAGUUGGUGGGGUAAAGGCCUACCAAGGCGACGAUCUGUAGCGGGUCUGAGAGGAUGAUCCGCCACACUGGGACUGAGACACGGCCCAGACUCCUACGGGAGGCAGCAGUGGGGAAUAUUGGACAAUGGGCGGAAGCCUGAUCCAGCCAUGCCGCGUGUGUGAAGAAGGCCUUUUGGUUGUAAAGCACUUUAAGCGAGGAGGAGGCUACUAGUACUAAUACUACUGGAUAGUGGACGUUACUCGCAGAAUAAGCACCGGCUAACUCUGUGCCAGCAGCCGCGGUAAUACAGAGGGUGCGAGCGUUAAUCGGAUUUACUGGGCGUAAAGCGUGCGUAGGCGGCUYUUUAAGUCGGAUGUGAAAUCCCCGAGCUUAACUUGGGAAUUGCAUUCGAUACUGGGAAGCUAGAGUAUGGGAGAGGAUGGUAGAAUUCCAGGUGUAGCGGUGAAAUGCGUAGAGAUCUGGAGGAAUACCGAUGGCGAAGGCAGCCAUCUGGCSUAAUACUGACGCUGAGGUACGAAAGCAUGGGGAGCAAACAGGAUUAGAUACCCUGGUAGUCCAUGCCGUAAACGAUGUCUACUAGCCGUUGGGGCCUUUGAGGCUUUAGUGGCGCAGCUAACGCGAUAAGUAGACGCUGGGGAGUACGUCGCAAGACUAAAACUCAAUGAAUUGACGGGGGCCCGCACAAGCGGUGGAGCAUGUGGUUUAAUUCGAUGCAACGCGAAGAACCUUACCUGGCCUUGACAUACUAGAAACUUUCCAGAGAUGGAUUGGUGCCUUCGGGAAUUUAGAUACAGGUUCUUUGUAGGUGUGUUUUCACUCGUGUCGUGAGAUGUUGGGUUAAGUCCCGCAACGAGCGCAACCCUUUUCCUUACUUGCCAGCAUUUCGGAUGGGAACUUUAAGGAUACUGCCAGUGACAAACUGGAGGAAGGCGGGGACGACGUCAAGUCAUCAUGGCCCUUACGGCCAGGGCUACACACGUGCUACAAUGGUCGGUACAAAGGGUUGCUACCUAGCGAUAGGAUGCUAAUCUCAAAAAGCCGAUCGUAGUCCGGAUUGGAGUCUGCAACUCGACUCCAUGAAGUCGGAAUCGCUAGUAAUCGCGGAUCAGAAUGCCGCGGUGAAUACGUUCCCGGGCCUUGUACACACCGCCCGUCACACCAUGGGAGUUUGUUGCACCAGAAGUAGGUAGUCUAACCGCAAGGAGGACGCUUACUCAU